This 21-nucleotide non-coding RNA is filed under the name Caenorhabditis elegans. Lineage: Eukaryota; Metazoa; Nematoda; Chromadorea; Rhabditida; Rhabditidae. The record is from RNAcentral.
UAUGAACAACAAAAAACACAA